Nymphalis io (European peacock) is the source of this 550-nucleotide long non-coding RNA. RefSeq lists it as uncharacterized. NCBI's taxonomy places the organism in Eukaryota, Metazoa, Arthropoda, Insecta, Lepidoptera, Nymphalidae. The transcript is spliced from 2 exons. The record is from RefSeq and is a predicted model, not a curated record.
UAUUUAAUACAAAUAUUUUUAUAAAUAUAUCAAUCAUAAUAAUAUAAAAUAACUAUUACCAAAAAAUACAAAUACAACGUUAAAUCUGCAACAAUGCAGACAAAAUUGUAUUACAUUACUUCCAUUGUACGAUAAUUAUUCCGAGUUCUCAGGUGCUACGUGACUUGGAUUCAGUGUUGAAUUUCGCAUAGCUGAUAUAAUUCGACAAUGUCGCAAUAUCGGAAAUGUCCAGUAAUUCGAUACCCGGGCAGAAUGCAACGGACCUCACGCCGCUUGGAUCGCAUGUCUCAGAUAAGAAUACAUUGUGUUGCUGACUGUUUAAGCCGUGGAUCGUACGGAUAGAACUUUUUGCGCACACGACCGAACGCGUUGCCCGAUCGCCUUCCCGGAUUACAUUUAGAAAUAGCAGUGUGAUAAGGGUCUAAGCGCACUCCUAAAAACAUACAAUAUAAAAAAUAGAAAGUAUUUACCACUGUUUAUUUGAAACACAAUGAACUUUCUAUAAGCAUCAUGUACCUAGCUUAAUUAAAUAAAUGAAAUGUCACCUAUA